RNAcentral lists this ribosomal RNA (430 nucleotides) under uncultured bacterium. Its description in RNAcentral is "bacterial SSU rRNA". It matches the Rfam family "Bacterial small subunit ribosomal RNA", at positions 335 to 758 of the family's 1533-position model. The record is from RNAcentral.
ACUCCUACGGGAGGCAGCAGUGGGGAAUAUUGCACAAUGGGCGCAAGCCUGAUGCAGCCAUGCCGCGUGUGUGAAGAAGGCCUUCGGGUUGUAAAGCACUUUCAGUCGUGAGGAAGGUAGUGUAGUUAAUAGCUGCAUUAUUUGACGUUUAGCGACAGAAGAAGCACCGGCUAACUCCGUGCCAGCAGCCGCGGUAAUACGGAGGGUGCGAGCGUUAAUCGGAAUUACUGGGCGUAAAGCGCAUGCAGGUGGUUUGUUAAGUCAGAUGUGAAAGCCCGGGGCUCAACCUCGGAAUAGCAUUUGAAACUGGCAGACUAGAGUACUGUAGAGGGGGUAGAAUUUCAGGUGUAGCGGUGAAAUGCGUAGAGAUCUGAAGGAAUACCGGUGGCGAAGGCGGCCCCUGGACAGAUACUGACACUCAGAUGCGAAA